Molecule: transfer RNA, 96 nt
Filed under: Actinoplanes ianthinogenes
Lineage: Bacteria; Bacillati; Actinomycetota; Actinomycetes; Micromonosporales; Micromonosporaceae
Description: tRNA-Arg
Source: RNAcentral
CGGCCGGGUUGGCCUGGUCCAGGUCCAGCCCCCGGCGCUGGGCGUGCCGGCGGACCGCGGCGAGCAGCGUGGCGCCGUCCCGCGGCCGACCGGCCA